CCAAUGACGCUCUUUUUGUAGGAGAUUCUGUUUUACAAUGUCUUCUCGUCUAAUAUAAUUUUAUGCUUAUGAAAAUGUAAAGCAUGUUUUCGGUGUUUUAUACUUGUAGAGAAGAGGUAAUAUGGAAUUUUGUUUUCUCAAGAUACGAGUGAAAUCAUGGGCUUGAAAACUAGCGACAACUAUUUAAUUCUAGUUCAUAGUUUAUGCUCAUGCUUAGUGGAGUAAUUACGUGAGUUACUAAGUGGCUGAUUUAAGUUGGAUUGAUUUUCUGCGUUCUUUACUUGCCGUGGAUAUUCUUGGUUUCUCGCAUAAGCAUGCUGAUAUGUAUGAUAUGUCCAUUCCUUUUGUUUGUCUCUUCUUUUUUUUUUGAGCUCAAGAUUUUUCAUCUAACUUGUUCUUUGUUUGUUUUUUAAAUGUGCACAUAUUUUCUACUCAAAAGCAGAAUGUUGCUUUGCUUCAUGACAAGUACUAGAGUUCAUGCUCGAGAAGAAGAGGCAAGCCUGAGUUGAUGCGAGAGGAGCUUGUGGAGGCCAAGGAGAAAUACGAGAGUAUCAGUUGUUACUUAAAAGAGUUGGUGCCAUGUUAUGUUACUAUUCUAUAAUUAUAAUAAGUUACUUGUGGACAAUGUGGACAAGGUCCAUUUUAUGAACAUGGUGUAAUGGUACAAAGUAACUAGUUGUUUUUUCUGGUUGGCACAUCUUAUGAACCUAUUGUUUAAUGAUACUGCUGGGCCCAAUAUUAUCCUGGUUACCUGCCAAAUUGUGUUAUGAUUUUGGCCCUGAAAGUAAAUCUGCA
This 795-nucleotide long non-coding RNA is filed under the name Hordeum vulgare. RNAcentral's name for it is "long non-coding RNA (HVUL_LNC018038)". The record is from RNAcentral. Lineage: Eukaryota; Viridiplantae; Streptophyta; Magnoliopsida; Poales; Poaceae.